This 231-nucleotide unclassified non-coding RNA is filed under the name plant metagenome. RNAcentral describes it as "partial contains small subunit ribosomal RNA, internal transcribed spacer 1, and 5.8S ribosomal RNA". The record is from RNAcentral.
UCUCCGUUGGUGAACCAGCGGAGGGAUCAUUACAGAGUUGCAAAACUCCCACACCAUUGUGAACGUUACCUAUCCCGUUGCUUCGGCGGACGGCCCGGGCCCCGCGCCCGGCGCCCCCCGGCCCCCCGUGGGCGCCCGCCGGAGGUAAACCAAACCCUUGAAUUGCAUGGCCUCUCUGAGUCUUCUGUACUGAAUAAGUCAAAACUUUCAGCAACGGAUCUCUUGGUUCUG